Molecule: ribosomal RNA, 186 nt
Filed under: uncultured Lactobacillus sp.
Lineage: Bacteria; Bacillati; Bacillota; Bacilli; Lactobacillales; Lactobacillaceae
Description: partial 16S ribosomal RNA
Rfam family: Bacterial small subunit ribosomal RNA
Source: RNAcentral
UAGGGAAUCUUCCACAAUGGACGCAAGUCUGAUGGAGCAACGCCGCGUGAGUGAAGAAGGUUUUCGGAUCGUAAAGCUCUGUUGUUGGUGAAGAAAGAUAGUGAGAGUAACUGCUCAUUAUUUGCCGGUAAUCAACCAGAAAGUCACGGCUAACUACGUGCCAGCAGCCGCGGUAAUACGUAGGUG